This 783-nucleotide ribosomal RNA is filed under the name uncultured Actinomyces sp. Its description in RNAcentral is "bacterial SSU rRNA". It matches the Rfam family "Bacterial small subunit ribosomal RNA", at positions 66 to 845 of the family's 1533-position model. Lineage: Bacteria; Bacillati; Actinomycetota; Actinomycetes; Actinomycetales; Actinomycetaceae. The record is from RNAcentral.
ACGCUGAAGCCCAGCUUGCUGGGUGGAUGAGUGGCGAACGGGUGAGUAACACGUGAGUAACCUGCCCCCUUCUUUGGGAUAACGCCCGGAAACGGGUGCUAAUACUGGAUAUUCACUGGCCUUCGCAUGGGGGUUGGUGGAAAGGUUUUUUCUGGUGGGGGAUGGGCUCGCGGCCUAUCAGCUUGUUGGUGGGGUGAUGGCCUACCAAGGCUUUGACGGGUAGCCGGCCUGAGAGGGUGACCGGUCACAUUGGGACUGAGAUACGGCCCAGACUCCUACGGGAGGCAGCAGUGGGGAAUAUUGCACAAUGGGCGAAAGCCUGAUGCAGCGACGCCGCGUGAGGGAUGACGGCCUUCGGGUUGUAAACCUCUUUCGCUCAUGGUCAAGCCGCAGCUUUGGGUUGUGGUGAGGGUAGUGGGUAAAGAAGCGCCGGCUAACUACGUGCCAGCAGCCGCGGUAAUACGUAGGGCGCGAGCGUUGUCCGGAAUUAUUGGGCGUAAAGGGCUUGUAGGCGGUUGGUCGCGUCUGCCGUGAAAUCCUCUGGCUUAACUGGGGGCGUGCGGUGGGUACGGGCUGACUUGAGUGCGGUAGGGGAGACUGGAACUCCUGGUGUAGCGGUGGAAUGCGCAGAUAUCAGGAAGAACACCGGUGGCGAAGGCGGGUCUCUGGGCCGUUACUGACGCUGAGGAGCGAAAGCGUGGGGAGCGAACAGGAUUAGAUACCCUGGUAGUCCACGCUGUAAACGUUGGGCACUAGGUGUGGGGGCCACCCGUGGUUUCUGCG